This 85-nucleotide transfer RNA is filed under the name Felis catus (domestic cat). It matches the Rfam family "tRNA". Rfam says of the family: Transfer RNA (tRNA) molecules are approximately 80 nucleotides in length. Their secondary structure includes four short double-helical elements and three loops (D, anti-codon, and T loops). Lineage: Eukaryota; Metazoa; Chordata; Mammalia; Carnivora; Felidae. The record is from Rfam by way of RNAcentral.
GCCUGGGUGGCUCAGUCGGUUAAGCAUCCGACUUCGGUUCAGGUCAUGAUCUCGCGGUUUGUGGGUUCGAGCCCCACAUCAGGCU